RNAcentral lists this long non-coding RNA (3431 nucleotides) under Bemisia tabaci. RNAcentral describes it as "lncRNA ENSSWEETPG001987". Lineage: Eukaryota; Metazoa; Arthropoda; Insecta; Hemiptera; Aleyrodidae. The record is from RNAcentral.
ACAAAAACAUCAGUGAAAUUCAACAGUAUUACAUCGGAAAUGGAUUUCUUUGAGGCACUAAAAUGAAUUUUCACCACAAAACAUAUGAAAUACAAAAGACAAAUAUUACGGAUUCUCUCGAAUUAUCUGGGAAUAAUUUAUUUUAGCCGGCAGGAUAUCUUCUGUUUUUAGUGUUUUUAUUUUAUUUCUUGUUUGAAAAAUAUUAAAUGACCUUUUUAAACCUAAAUAAUGAAUUUUUCUCAUUUCUUUUUUUACAGCCGAUGUCGGAAAGCAGGAGAUGACUCGAGUUCUUCAUCUGAAUCUCCAACCGCUCAUAGGAAGCAAAUACCUCCUUCACGUAAAGCUAAGAAUAAAAAUCAGGGGUUUGGAAAGCGGCCGGUGAAAAGCAGUAGCGGUUACUCUAGUCACACGGAGGAAACCACUUUUAGAUCACACUCACGGGAAUUGAGCGAAACGGACUGCGAUCUAAACAAGUUAGCUAUCAGAAGAUCCUCCCGAGGCUCAACGUCUCAGCCGAGAGGCCUCAUUCCAAAUCAAUGUCUAGUCGUGCCUUUAAAUUGUAUUUUAUUUUUUAUAUAUUGUUGACUUUAAAAAACCCAUCUUGACUGAAUAUCGAUAGUAUGAUAGUGGUCGUUUAUGCGGAUACUGUCCUAUUCAGGAUCCAGUUUUUAUUGUUAUUUUAUUAGCAUCCAAUGUUUAAAGGGAGGUUGAAUGAAUAGUUCUCAAUAAUGUGGAUUUGUAUCUUUUAUAUAGAGAACGGUCGAUUGCCGAGUUGUAUUCUUUCCAAAAUUAUAUAAUUGAAAUGGAGUAUUAAGCGAUAAGUCUUAGAUUUAUUAUGCAUUCAAAGCUUACACUUGAAGACAUGUGAGUCUACUAGCUUUAUAAAUUCUAAUAAUUUUAAUGGUCCACAGGCAGGGUGUCUACAAGUCCAGAAUUUCCGAAAAGUCCGGAAAUAGUACUGAUUUUUUAAGGACGGUCCGAAAGUACUGAAAAAGUACGGAAUUUUGCAAGUUGGUCUGGAAUUUUUUUCAUUUUUGUCGUAAUUUGAGCGGGAAAUUCAAAUUUUGAAAUUUUUUGAAUUUCGUCCAUACGAGGUAUCGAAAAAGUACUGAAUUUUUCUGUUGAGGAGGUACUGAAUUUCUUGGUAAUGUAUUGACAAAGUACAGUAAAAGUCCUGAUUUUCGGCCAGUCUGUUUAGUAGACACCCUGACGGCCCAAAAUACGAAUUGAAGCAUUCUGAUAAUUGUUUCCUUCUCCCUUCUCAAAAUUUCACGCAGAACAACGUUUGCUCACAAUAAUAACCGAAAUAAACUCCCAACAAAUAUAUUAACGUUCUUUUUAAUUACCAAAAUGUUUCCAUUUAAUUCAUUAUUUUUUCAUUUUGGUGUAAAGGGAGUUGGAGUGGAAUAAAAAAACUUCUCUGUCAGCGUACGCUGAGCACACAAGCACAGUAAGCUGUGAUGAACCAAAAACAAAAAAAAAUUUAAAACAGGAUUUGGCGUCCAUGUCUUCAUAAAAAUAAAAAAGUGUAGUCCUUACCGCAAUAUGCCACAUAUUUUCAAUGUUGACCUCUGCAUUUCAUUUAAUUUGUUUUGUAGACUCGGCAGCCAACCGUUUCUGAAUCUAAUGUGAUUUAGUUUUAUGCUUGGAAACCAAUCUUGACCGUAAGUUCUUAAAAUAAUUCAUGUAAUUGUUUCUGUGAAAUGUCUAAAAGCUCAAUUUUAACCUUAAUCCAUUAGAUUUAAAACAUAUCUUUUUUAUGCUGUAUUUUCUACUCUAAAAAAUGAGCAACGUUACUUUUCAACGAAAACACAAGGAUAAAAUAAUUAUAGCAAAUAUCCAUACAUGACUAACCUUAAGAUAGUAAGAGACCUUUUAAAAAGAGUGUAAUAUUAUCUAAGUGCUCUAUCCAUAAAUGACUGAUACUAAGAUAGAAAGAGAGCUUUUAAAAAGAGUGUAAUAUUAUCUAAGUGUUCUAUCCAUAAAUGACUGAUACUAAGAUAGAAAGAGACCUUUUAAAAGAGUGUAAUAUCAUUUAAGUGUUCACUGACAGAUAUCAGUCAAUUCCUCCUUAACAUUACAAGUUUAGGCUAGUUUUGUUUUUCUCUAUAUGCUGAAGAGAAAAUCGUACGAUUCGUUGUGUCAGGAUUUCAAGUAUCAAAGUAAUUCUGGUAUGCUAAGGAAAAACGUCACUUGGACAUUAGAGAGUUCCCGAAUUUCCCAGUGUAGAACAUGUAUUUUGUUAAGAAAAUGUACACAUAUUUUUCCUGAUUAUUACUAAUAUUUUAGAUGAAAUUACAAAAAAAAUUCAAAGAAAAAAUAUGCUUAAUUUUCUCGGUAAAUUGGUUUUUAUUGAAAUUAAUCUGGCAACUUCUUAAAGGUCAUAUAGCAUUCUUCCCUAACUUAGCAGCAUAUUGGUGUGAAACUUCAAAUGUACUUAUCUCGGUUCCAAUGUUUCCAAAACUCUGCUCUUAUUUGAAUUUUACAAGGAGGCGGAACAAACAGCAUGGCUUGAAUUUUCAUAGAAUAUUCUACUUGUAGGGAAAAAGUGUUACCGAAGUUUUCAAGGAAUUACAUUGAGUAAUUUUUCAUGCAGAAAAUAGUGAUUGACAGGAAGUCUGCAACGUUGCGGACCGAGCUACAUGUUCCUGCAGUUUCACCAUCGCUACAGUAUUAACCUAGGCAAAAAGUCUAGAGUAUUGUGAGAAAACAAAAAACAUCAAGAAGUAGUCUUCAAUUUUUUACAGGAUGACAAAAUUUUGAAUUCUUCCCUGCUUUGAUGAUACGAAUUCAUACAUCAGUGCCACUUUGUACACUCUAGCUCCUACUGGUGUUAACUUACCUGUUUUGUUGACUGAUCCUGUAUAUGUCCUCGCAGCAGGCCAUUUUUGCAGGCCUUUGUGACUAAUCUAUUUAUGAAGGUCUGAUCUCCUAUUGUUGCCUGCAUGAGUGGAGAGACUGUAGCUACUCCCUAUUGUGAUGUCAGACUAGCGGACAUUUGGAGCACAUUUUGCAAUGCAGAAUUGAAAUGUCUGGCUAAUUUGUAAAAACACUUGUGUGCAAAAGGAAACUAAUGGUACAUAUGUUGUUUCCAAACUGAGCCAGUAAUUGUAGUUUCUAAUUGCGAUGUAUUCCAUUUAUCAAAAACAUCAAUCAGUUUAGGUCAUUGGAGAGUCAAUAAUUAAGUGAGGCACACCACCAAGACAAGAAGACAACCAAUGGGCCUGUUGCAAACUUUUGCUAGGACAAAAUAAGAGUUGUUCCUUAUAGAUAAUGUCUCAAAAAUUACGAUGAGCGCAUUGGCAAACUCUGAAAUGCACUCCUAAAUCCACAAUCUGUGUAAGAAAUUUGUGUUUUUUAAGCUUCCCGCUUCAAAAAGAUACUACGGCACAGGUGAAUAUUUCGUUAGAGGAGUUGUUCCAUUUCAAUCC